This 522-nucleotide unclassified non-coding RNA is filed under the name Cladosporium sp. 2 SDM-2014. RNAcentral's name for it is "sequence contains ITS1, 5.8S rRNA gene and ITS2". The stretch from base 166 to 319 matches the Rfam family "5.8S ribosomal RNA". Lineage: Eukaryota; Fungi; Ascomycota; Dothideomycetes; Cladosporiales; Cladosporiaceae. The record is from RNAcentral.
GAGGUCAUUCAAGUGACCCCGGUCUAACCACCGGGAUGUUCAUAACCCUUUGUUGUCCGACUCUGUUGCCUCCGGGGCGACCCUGCCUUCGGGCGGGGGCUCCGGGUGGACACUUCAAACUCUUGCGUAACUUUGCAGUCUGAGUAAACUUAAUUAAUAAAUUAAAACUUUUAACAACGGAUCUCUUGGUUCUGGCAUCGAUGAAGAACGCAGCGAAAUGCGAUAAGUAAUGUGAAUUGCAGAAUUCAGUGAAUCAUCGAAUCUUUGAACGCACAUUGCGCCCCCUGGUAUUCCGGGGGGCAUGCCUGUUCGAGCGUCAUUUCACCACUCAAGCCUCGCUUGGUAUUGGGCAACGCGGUCCGCCGCGUGCCUCAAAUCGACCGGCUGGGUCUUCUGUCCCCUAAGCGUUGUGGAAACUAUUCGCUAAAGGGUGUUCGGGAGGCUACGCCGUAAAACAACCCCAUUUCUAAGGUUGACCUCGGAUCAGGUAGGGAUACCCGCUGAACUUAAGCAUAUCAAUAA